RNAcentral lists this ribosomal RNA (253 nucleotides) under uncultured bacterium. Its description in RNAcentral is "partial 16S ribosomal RNA". It matches the Rfam family "Bacterial small subunit ribosomal RNA", at positions 524 to 776 of the family's 1533-position model. The record is from RNAcentral.
UACGUAGGGUGCAAGCGUUGUCCGGAAUUAUUGGGCGUAAAGAGCUCGUAGGCGGUCUGUCGCGUCUGCUGUGAAAACUCGGGGCUUAACCCCGGGCCUGCAGUGGGUACGGGCAGACUAGAGUGCGGUAGGGGAGACUGGAAUUCCUGGUGUAGCGGUGAAAUGCGCAGAUAUCAGGAGGAACACCGAUUGCGAAGGCAGCUCGCUGGGACGUUACUGACGCUGAGACGCGAAAGCGUGGGGAGCAAACAGG